This 76-nucleotide transfer RNA is filed under the name Caloramator sp. E03. RNAcentral describes it as "tRNA-Thr". It matches the Rfam family "tRNA". From Rfam's summary of the family: Transfer RNA (tRNA) molecules are approximately 80 nucleotides in length. Their secondary structure includes four short double-helical elements and three loops (D, anti-codon, and T loops). The record is from RNAcentral. Lineage: Bacteria; Bacillati; Bacillota; Clostridia; Eubacteriales; Clostridiaceae.
GCUUCAUUGGCCCAGUCGGUAGGGCAACUGAUUCGUAAUCAGUAGGUCGGGGGUUCGAGUCCCCCAUGAAGCUCCA